RNAcentral lists this ribosomal RNA (389 nucleotides) under Vibrio alginolyticus. RNAcentral's name for it is "bacterial SSU rRNA". It matches the Rfam family "Bacterial small subunit ribosomal RNA", at positions 59 to 435 of the family's 1533-position model. The record is from RNAcentral. Lineage: Bacteria; Pseudomonadati; Pseudomonadota; Gammaproteobacteria; Vibrionales; Vibrionaceae.
CAGUCGAGCGGAACGAGUUAUCUGAACCUUCGGGGAACGAUAACGGCGUCGAGCGGCGGACGGGUGAGUAAUGCCUAGGAAAUUGCCCUGAUGUGGGGGAUAACCAUUGGAAACGAUGGCUAAUACCGCAUAAUGCCUACGGGCCAAAGAGGGGGACCUUCGGGCCUCUCGCGUCAGGAUAUGCCUAGGUGGGAUUAGCUAGUUGGUGAGGUAAGGGCUCACCAAGGCAACGAUCCCUAUCUGGUCUGAGAGGAUGAUCACCCACACUGGAACUGACACACGGUCCAGACUCCUACGGGAGGCACCAGUGGGGAAUAUUGCACAAUGGGCGCAAGCCUGAUGCAACCAUGCCGCGUGUAUGAAGAAGGCCUUCGGGUUGUAAAGUACUU